CCCAGAGCCUGAAUCAGUAUGUGUGUUAGUGGAAGCGUCUGGAAAGGCGCGCGAUACAGGGUGACAGCCCCGUACACAAAAAUGCACAUAUUGUGAGCUCGAUGAGUAGGGCGGGACACGUGGUAUCCUGUCUGAAUAUGGGGGGACCAUCCUCCAAGGCUAAAUACUCCUGACUGACCGAUAGUGAACCAGUACCGUGAGGGAAAGGCGAAAAGAACCCCGGCGAGGGGAGUGAAAAAGAACCUGAAACCGUGUACGUACAAGCAGUGGGAGCACGCUUAGGCGUGUGACUGCGUACCUUUUGUAUAAUGGGUCAGCGACUUAUAUUCUGUAGCAAGGUUAACCGAAUAGGGGAGCCGAAGGGAAACCGAGUCUUAACUGGGCGUUAAGUUGCAGGGUAUAGACCCGAAACCCGGUGAUCUAGCCAUGGGCAGGUUGAAGGUUGGGUAACACUAACUGGAGGACCGAACCGACUAAUGUUGAAAAAUUAGCGGAUGACUUGUGGCUGGGGGUGAAAGGCCAAUCAAACCGGGAGAUAGCUGGUUCUCCCCGAAAGCUAUUUAGGUAGCGCCUCGUGAAUUCAUCUCCGGGGGUAGAGCACUGUUUCGGCAAGGGGGUCAUCCCGACUUACCAACCCGAUGCAAACUGCGAAUACCGGAGAAUGUUAUCACGGGAGACACACGGCGGGUGCUAACGUCCGUCGUGAAGAGGGAAACAACCCAGACCGCCAGCUAAGGUCCCAAAGUCAUGGUUAAGUGGGAAACGAUGUGGGAAGGCCCAGACAGCCAGGAUGUUGGCUUAGAAGCAGCCAUCAUUUAAAGAAAGCGUAAUAGCUCACUGGUCGAGUCGGCCUGCGCGGAAGAUGUAACGGGGCUAAACCAUG
This 883-nucleotide ribosomal RNA is filed under the name Escherichia coli. Its description in RNAcentral is "partial 23S ribosomal RNA". It matches the Rfam family "Bacterial large subunit ribosomal RNA", at positions 296 to 1191 of the family's 2925-position model. Lineage: Bacteria; Pseudomonadati; Pseudomonadota; Gammaproteobacteria; Enterobacterales; Enterobacteriaceae. The record is from RNAcentral.